UAGCACAGCGGCCUGUCUAUCAUGAUGG
RNAcentral lists this non-coding RNA (28 nucleotides) under Rattus norvegicus (Norway rat). The record is from RNAcentral. Lineage: Eukaryota; Metazoa; Chordata; Mammalia; Rodentia; Muridae.